This 78-nucleotide non-coding RNA is filed under the name human gut metagenome. Its description in RNAcentral is "Glycine riboswitch". The stretch from base 6 to 75 matches the Rfam family "Glycine riboswitch aptamer", at positions 11 to 84 of the family's 94-position model. Rfam says of the family: This family represents the bacterial glycine riboswitch. Glycine riboswitches usually consist of two metabolite-binding aptamers domains with similar structures in tandem. The record is from RNAcentral.
CACUUCCGGAGAAUCCUGAAAAGGUACCGAAGGGGCAAUGCGUUGUUAGCGCAAAUCUCUCAGGUAAAAGGACGGUUG